RNAcentral lists this ribosomal RNA (579 nucleotides) under Nothopericoniella perseae-macranthae. RNAcentral's name for it is "eukaryotic LSU rRNA". It matches the Rfam family "Eukaryotic large subunit ribosomal RNA", at positions 47 to 657 of the family's 3401-position model. The record is from RNAcentral. Lineage: Eukaryota; Fungi; Ascomycota; Dothideomycetes; Mycosphaerellales; Mycosphaerellaceae.
UAAGCGGAGGAAAAGAAACCAACAGGGAUUGCCCUAGUAACGGCGAGUGAAGCGGCAACAGCUCAAAUUUGAAACCUGGCGCAAGCCCGGAUUGUAAUUUGUAGAGGAUGCUUCUGGGCAGCGGCCGUUCUAAGUUCCUUGGAACAGGACGUCAUAGAGGGUGAGAAUCCCGUAUGCGACCGGCGCGCACCCUCCACGUAGCUCCUUCGACGAGUCGAGUUGUUUGGGAAUGCAGCUCUAAAUGGGAGGUAAAUGUCUUCUAAAGCUAAAUACCGGCCAGAGACCGAUAGCGCACAAGUAGAGUGAUCGAAAGAUGAAAAGCACUUUGGAAAGAGAGUUAAAAAGCACGUGAAAUUGUUGAAAGGGAAGCGCUCACAACCAGACUUCGCGGGGGUGUUCCGCCGGUCUUUUGACCGGUCCACUCGCCGCCGCGAGGCCAACAUCGUCUGCGGCCGCCGGAGAAGACCCGAGGAAUGUAGCUCCUAGAGUGUUAUAGCCUUGGGUGAUGCGGCGCGCCGCGGGCGAGGUCCACGCUUCGGCAAGGAUGUUGGCGUAAUGGUUGUCAGCGGCCCGUCUUGA